RNAcentral lists this ribosomal RNA (571 nucleotides) under uncultured Candidatus Pelagibacter sp. RNAcentral's name for it is "bacterial SSU rRNA". It matches the Rfam family "Bacterial small subunit ribosomal RNA", at positions 56 to 674 of the family's 1533-position model. Lineage: Bacteria; Pseudomonadati; Pseudomonadota; Alphaproteobacteria; Candidatus Pelagibacterales; Candidatus Pelagibacteraceae. The record is from RNAcentral.
UGCAGUCGAACGCAGUAGCAAUACUGAGUGGCGAACGGGUGAGUAUAAUGUGGGUAUCUGCCUUUUGGUUUGGAAUAACACGAGGAAACUUGUGCUAAUACCGGAUAAGCCUUCACAGGGAAAGUUUUAACGCCAAAAGAUGAGCCCGCACUUGAUUAGCUAGUUGGUAAGGUAAUGGCUUACCAAGGCUACUAUCAAUAACUGAUCUGAUAGGAUGAUCAGCCACAUUGGGACUGACACACGGCCCAAACUUCUACGGAAGGCAGCAGUGGGGAGUCUUGCACAAUGGGGGAAACCCUGAUGCAACGAUGCCGCGUGAGUGAAGAAGGCCUUUGGGUUGUAAAGCUCUUUCGUCGGGGAAGAAAAUGACGGUACCUGAAUAAGAAGAUCCGGCUAACUCCGUGCCACCAGCCGCGGUAAUACGGAGGGAUCUAGCGUUAUUCGGAAUUACUGGGCGUAAAGCGAGCGUAGGCGGAUUUGUAAGUUGGAGGUGAAAUCCCAGAGCUUAACUCUGGAACUGCCUUCAAAACUACAUUUCUUGAGUUUGGUAGAGGAGAGUGGAAUUCCUAGU